This 147-nucleotide ribosomal RNA is filed under the name uncultured Anaerolineaceae bacterium. RNAcentral describes it as "partial 16S ribosomal RNA". It matches the Rfam family "Bacterial small subunit ribosomal RNA", at positions 1239 to 1382 of the family's 1533-position model. The record is from RNAcentral. Lineage: Bacteria; Bacillati; Chloroflexota; Anaerolineae; Anaerolineales; Anaerolineaceae.
ACAAUAGGUUGCGAAGGCCGCGAGGCGGAGCCAAUCCAGCAAAACUUCCCUCAAGUUCAGAUUGCAGGCUGCAACUCGCCUGCAUGAAGUUGGAGUUGCUAGUAAACGCAGGUCAGCCAUACUGCGUUGAAUACGUUCCCGGGGCUU